AUUGAACGCUGGCGGCAUGCCUUACACAUGCAAGUCGAACGGUAACAGGUCUUCGGAUGCUGACGAGUGGCGAACGGGUGAGUAAUACAUCGGAACGUGCCCAGUCGUGGGGGAUAACGAAGCGAAAGCUUUGCUAAUACCGCAUACGAUCUACGGAUGAAAGCGGGGGAUCGCAAGACCUCGCGCGAUUGGAGCGGCCGAUGGCAGAUUAGGUAGUUGGUGGGGUAAAGGCUUACCAAGCCUACGAUCUGUAGCUGGUCUGAGAGGACGACCAGCCACACUGGGACUGAGACACGGCCCAGACUCCUACGGGAGGCAGCAGUGGGGAAUUUUGGACAAUGGGCGCAAGCCUGAUCCAGCAAUGCCGCGUGCAGGAUGAAAGCCUUCGGGUUGUAAACUGCUUUUGUACGGAACGAAAAGCUCUGGGUUAAUACCCUGGGGUCAUGACGGUACCGUAAGAAUAAGCACCGGCUAACUACGUGCCAGCCGCCGCCGUAA
RNAcentral lists this ribosomal RNA (498 nucleotides) under uncultured bacterium. RNAcentral describes it as "partial 16S ribosomal RNA". It matches the Rfam family "Bacterial small subunit ribosomal RNA", at positions 30 to 523 of the family's 1533-position model. The record is from RNAcentral.